UUGCACGUCUUUCGGCGGCCACGCACUGACAGUUGCACGCGGUGGCUACAACCCGACGAAUCAUCUUGGCCUAAUCCCCAAAUGAGUGUGCAGCCGUGGGGCGUUCCCACCCGGCGCACACGCAACUAAGGUGGAUUUAUGUUGUGAGUGUGCGCAACAGUUUACAACUAUUGUGUCCGGAUUCCACUUGACAGGACUUCCUAAUCCAUCUUCAGUGCCAUAAUGUAGCAGAAGCAUUUUGCUGGCUGAUGACGUUUAAAGACCCCGCCCCUUUCUCAUUUCUCAUUGGUUGCUUAAAAGAAACUUCCGGAAGCUUGAAUCUUUUGCCAAUGGAAGCAGGCAAAGCUGUGCCAAGCGACCCCCUCUGCUUCUGUCCCCGUCGAUGGGUUCGAAUGCAGCGGAUCCCAACCAAGUGCACCAUCACCACGCCCAGACUUGAAAAAGCACAAUGACGUGCUCACAAAAUGGAGGAGAACAAGGAUCUCCCUGAUGGAACGGCGGACCACGGCAGCCAAGCGGAGACUGUGGAACAUCACACCGCAAGCUAACUGUAAGUCAUCACGGUUAUCCAAAAUGAGAAUGCGGGCAAGUGGAGACUGCAGAGUAUCAUGCUGUGAGCCAAUGCCACAUUGAAUGCAUCAUUGGUAGCGAGAUGCUAACAGAUCAUGCUAGCAAGGCGACACUUUUGACAUACGGGGAGACUAAGGGCUGUGGUGGUUAACUGGAGACUGUGGAGGAAAAAAUACUUAAUGCUAAAAAUUUAAGUUUGACCUUGAAAGGUUUCACUUCCUGUAAUGUGAGCGCCAUCUUCUCGUUCGGGCGCCGAACAAGCGAUUUAACAGCGGCGAGUUUGUUUUGCAUUUAGCAACAAAUUCCCAACAGGGUUAAAAGAUGCUUUUUGUUCUUUUGCUGUCACUGGUUGCGCUCAUCCUCCCCUUUUCCACUAUCAAAAUUCUUUAGAUCGCUCCUUGAUGAAUUGUUUUUCAACAUCUGGUCGUUGCUGGCCUCAACGGCAGCAGAAGCAGGACGAGGCUCGAAGUCAACGAGCUCGUCUUCUUCUUGUUGCGAGCGGCGGGAGGAGGGAAGAGGACAACGUGGUGUGUACAAUUUACGGCCCUUCUCUGGAAAUUCCAGGCG
Molecule: long non-coding RNA, 1137 nt
Organism: Syngnathus acus (greater pipefish)
Lineage: Eukaryota; Metazoa; Chordata; Actinopteri; Syngnathiformes; Syngnathidae
Exons: 4
Source: RefSeq, a predicted model, not a curated record